ACUUUAUAUAAUUAAUAUAUAUAUAAUAUAUAAUUAUAUAUAGAGAGAGUUCAGCUACUAUACUCCUAUAAGUAUAGACCCCUUUAUACUCAUAAGUUUUCGAUCGUUAGAUCUAUACUUUUGACCAUUUCCAAUCUAUAAAUCAUACUAUUCAACCAACCAUCCACUAAAUCUUAGAGGACCACUAUCAUCCUAAUUGCACAUCCAACGGUCAAAAAUUUAUAAGUAUAAAGAGAUUUAUACUCAUAAGAGUAUAGUAGCUCUAGCCUAUAUAUAUGCAGAAUUAGGUUACUAUACUAUUAAUAGUACCAACUGUUUGCUAUUAGAUUUUCAACCCUUAGAUGAAGGAAUAUGUGGUCAGGAUGAUAGUAGCUCCCUAGGGUUGAGGAGGUGGGUAGUUGAAUAGUAUGAUCUAACGGAUGAAAAUGGCCAAAGGGAUAGAUCUAACGGCAGAAAACUCAAUAGCACUAAACGCUUGGUACUAUCGAUAGUAUAGUAGCCGAACUCUAUAUAUAGGUAGAUCUAACGGCAGAAAACUCGAUAGUACAAAACAAUUGGUACUGUAGAUAGUAUAAUAGCCGGACUAUAUAUAUGUAGAGAGAGAGAGAGUUCAGCUACUAUAUUAUCGAUAGUACCAAAUGCUUAGUGUUGUCGAAUUUUAUGCCGUUAGAUCUACCACUUUGACCAUUUUCAGUUGAUAAAUC
This 704-nucleotide long non-coding RNA is filed under the name Ananas comosus (pineapple). Its description in RNAcentral is "long non-coding RNA (ACOM_LNC007200)". The record is from RNAcentral. Lineage: Eukaryota; Viridiplantae; Streptophyta; Magnoliopsida; Poales; Bromeliaceae.